AUUUUGGCAGAGAAGUGCCAUGAAUUUAGAAUUCAUAUAUGUAAUUUUAAUUUACAAUUAGUA
This 63-nucleotide transfer RNA is filed under the name Megaloprepus caerulatus. RNAcentral's name for it is "tRNA-Leu". The record is from RNAcentral. Lineage: Eukaryota; Metazoa; Arthropoda; Insecta; Odonata; Coenagrionidae.